RNAcentral lists this non-coding RNA (108 nucleotides) under Virgibacillus necropolis. RNAcentral's name for it is "SAM-I sequence". It matches the Rfam family "SAM riboswitch aptamer (S box leader)". From Rfam's summary of the family: The SAM riboswitch is found upstream of a number of genes which code for proteins involved in methionine or cysteine biosynthesis in Gram-positive bacteria. The SAM riboswitch acts at the level of transcription termination control. Lineage: Bacteria; Bacillati; Bacillota; Bacilli; Caryophanales; Bacillaceae. The record is from Rfam by way of RNAcentral.
ACCUUAUCAAGAGUCGGGGAAGGAGUCUGGUCCUGUGAUCCCGCAGCAACCGUUAUUUGUAACAAGGUGCUAAUUCCAGCAAGCAAGCAUUUGCUUGAAAGAUGAGAU